AAUUUGUUCGAACGGUGGAACAUGUGGUUUAAUGCGAUAAUCCACGUUAAAUCUUACCAAUAUUUAAUAUUAAGUUGUAGUAAAUUAAUAAUAUUAUAUAUUAUUUAACUUAAUUUCGGUAUUGCAUGGCUGUCGUCAGUUCGUGUCGUGAGAUGUAAAAUUAAGUUUUAUUCACGAACGCAACCUAAAUUAAAUUCUAUUUUAAUGUUUUAAUAAACUAUAAAAUUUAAUUUAAUAUUUACAUUUUAUGUAAAAAGGUUUUUAGCUGAAGUCAAGUCCUUAUGGUCUUUAUAUAUUGGGCUACACACGUGUUACAAUGGCAAAAACAAAAAGUAACAAAUACGUAAGUAAGAGUAAAUCUUAAAAAAUUGCCUAAGUUCAGAUUAUUUUAUGUAACUCUAAAAUAUGAAGAUGAAAUCGUUAGUAAUUAUAAGUUAGUAUAUUAUAGUGAAUUAUAAGUCAAAUUUUGCACACACUGCCCAUCACGCUCGAAAAAUUUUAUAAAAUGUAAAAUAAAAAACUAUAAUUAUUAGUAUUACUAAUAAAUUAGUGGUUUUUGUUGUAAUUUUAUGAGGUAAUUU
This 581-nucleotide ribosomal RNA is filed under the name Metanophrys sinensis. Its description in RNAcentral is "SSU rRNA". The stretch from base 1 to 490 matches the Rfam family "Bacterial small subunit ribosomal RNA", at positions 918 to 1533 of the family's 1533-position model. Lineage: Eukaryota; Ciliophora; Oligohymenophorea; Philasterida; Orchitophryidae. The record is from RNAcentral.